UGGCCCCAUGCCCGACCCAAGCUCCAGCCCGCUCUGCUCUCCAGCAGCAAGCAUCACAUACGGGGGGGCUUUGCUGGCGCCCGACCACCGUGCUGUGGGCGAGGCAGGGGGGAAGCAGGGCAUCGUCACUUCACUGAGGCGGAAACUAUGGCAGGGAGCGGGUGUUGGGUGAUUUGCCUGAGGCGACACAGUGAGCGACAGAGCCAGGUCCGUGACCGGUUAUCCGGGGAGGUCCUGUGCCUGAGGGGAUCUGCGGCACCCAUAAGCCUGUUUCGGUCACCGCCCAGCCCCACGCCCCGGCUGCCCGCUGCCCUGCGUGUCUGCGGGAGGGUGGCUGGUGGCAUCCACCUCUGAAAAGUGCACAGCUGAAGCGGGGGGUGGGGGGGGCGGCCAUGGGGACGGCAGAGGGCGGUGCUCUCAGGGGGCAGCCCGGCCCUCACGCCCUCUCCCAGUGCCGGGGCGAGCCCCACAGCUUGGGCUGUGAGGGGUCUCAGCGCGGACCCACAGCCCAGCUGCCAGGGAGAAAAGGGAGGACCUGGGGAGAUGACUUCCCGUCAGAGCCUCGGAGUCCGCGUCCGAAAACGCGGGGCUCAGCCAGACGGCGUCCAGCUUCCCUGGGAUUCACUUUCUUAUUCCCUCGGAAUGUGUGAUUUCUAAGGGUCUGCAUCUCGGCCUCGGGAAUUUGCCAUGAAGUCUCAGUCACACUGACGCCACCACCUCACAGCCACCCUGGGAGGUAGAUGGGCAGGAAACUGCCCAGCGUUUUAAAGGCAUCAAUUUAUGAAGUCAGCCAGAACCAAGUUCAAAACCUAACCCGUCACUGACUUGCCAGGGGCCUUGGGGAGUCUCUAAGCCUUGGUUCCUCUCCAGACAAUGGAGACAGGAACAGUCUCACUGCCUCCUGCGCUGCUGGGGAAGGGAGGGGACUUGGUAAAGGGCCUGUCCUCUAGGUCCUCCCUCCCAGUGAUCCUGACGUGAUCUCUGCCAACUACCUAGGAAUGUGGGGAGAACAAACAAGAUAUAGCAGCGGCUUCUGAGAAGGAAUGCACUACAAAAAACCUCGGGAAUAGGAUCACUUCCCUCGAAACAGAGCCCUGGGCUUCCACAGCCCCACCCUGGGGGGCCUCAUCCGAUUCUCCCAGCCUCCUCCCUCCUCCUGGCCCACCUGCAGAGUCAGGGACCAGAGCAGAGCAGGGGGCCCCGAGAGGCGUGCCCCCACCCUGGGAUCUCCCUGACCAGGGCGGAGGGCUGAGGGGGCCGGACAGUGAGCGGCUGGUUUCCAGACCUGAGACCCGCUCCCUGGCGCCCACUCUGCCGGGGCUUCCUCUCAGCGAGCCGGGCCUCGGAGGACGCAUGAGAUCAUGUCUGGGAAUUGCUCAGAGCUCCUCGGAGAGAAGAGGCCCGAGGGACCCUAGGCGGGAUCAAUUAUGAACCGACGUGCUCAUUUAUAAGCACCUCGGUUUGCUGCGGGGCAGAGGAGGAAUGUGUGGGCUUGGUGUCGGGGAGCUCAGGCUUCGCACUGGGCUUGACCACUAACAGGUGUGGACAAACCACAACCUCUCGGAGCCCUGACACCCGUAAAAGUGGAUAAAUAGCAGCUGAGCGAGGCUAGAGAAAGAGCGACAGCAGCGUCCUUACCUGCACAUGGGGUCGCGAGGGCGCCGGCCUCACGGCCUCGCGGUGAGGGGCAGUGGCUGCGUGCCUGGCACGGGUGAGGGGCAGUGGCUGCGUGCCUGGCACGGGUCGUCAUUGCUAUUGGGGAGUAGAGAGCAGUGGGACCAAAGGCCUGAGGAUGGAGUUAGCUGCGAUGCUGCCCAGGCUUGCAGGCUCUGUGUCUGUCCCCACACCUGCACCUACCCCUGACUGACACAGGAGAGAGGACUGUGGGGCCUGGUGGCCACGGUGACUUGAACAAGUUACAACCCUCAGGAGACCAGCACUCCCUUCUUCCACAUCGGUCCUACGCCCGACUAAGAGGCGGUGGCGGAACCUGGGCUCCCCACAGCCAGGAGCCGAAGGUCACCUCACCAGGCCAGGCUGCGUCCCCAGCACAUGGCUGGCCCCCCAAGGGCCAGCAGGGGUGUGGCCAGGGAACCUCCUGCAGCUGCACCCACUUGGGAGGGUGCCCCGAGGCUGAGUGGUGACACUCCCCAGGCUGCCGCCUCUUUGUAGAGCUCUGCCUGUGGAGGGCACAGCGCGCCCUUUUGGUGGUGGCCUGCUCAUCCUCACAGCUUAGCUGACAGGUAGCGAGUAGGGGAGAUGAAGAGACCACGGGCCAGGGCAGUGGUUUGCUAAAGACCACAGUGCAAAGCAGGGUGGACAUGCUGACGAGGUGCCGAGAGUCCUCACCGUCACAGGACUAGAACCACUCAGAGAGGCUGGCCACAGUGGGGCUGCAGGGAAGGCGGCGCUGGCCCCCUGCCCAGCUAACGCAGGCCUCUCCCUGAGGUGCCAGCUGUGGGGUAAAGAGGGCUCUCUCUUUCCUGGGACGCCAGGUCCACGGGGCCUCUGUUGACCUAAGCAGUUCCUAUCAGCCCUGAGGACCAGGCCAAUGACUGCCCACGUGGCAGAGAACGCCGUGAGACCAGGAAGAGGAUGCUGGAAGGCCUCUCUCAGGGGCCGGAGAACUCGUCAGGUUCCUGGGGCUGAUCCCCCUGAAAGGGGGUGAAGGGAAGGGCGGGCAAGCUCUCCUCGCUGGGAGGGAGGGUCAGGGCCAUGACAGGUCCGGGAAAGAAAGAGACAGAUGUGCCUGUGAAGGACGCUCUUGGCUUCGGCCAUGUGCUCUCCUUCCUCUGGCCACACAGAAGUCCCACGGACGCUGCCCCUUGCCCCACAGCCCAGGGCUAGUUCCCGACACGAGGACUCUGGUGACUCUCUUGCUGUUUGCCGACUGUUCACUGCUGCCUGGCGUGCCAGGCAUGCCAGGCCCGGCCCUGCAGAGUCACAUGUCCUGUGCGGGCGAGGGGCCUGGCACUGCGGGGGCAGCAUUGGGUACCGUGGGGUGGGGCACUCACGGGCGGGGCAGCCCUCCAGGGAUGCAGAGAAGCUGGAAGCCUGGAAGCAGCGGGCUGCCCCUUCUUCCCGGUGUGCAGGUCCUUGGGCAAACAGUGAGCCAGGUGGGAGUGAGCGCACAGUGAACGCUGGGCUGGGAAAAGCAAACACCGCGGGCCACGGCUCUGCCAGGCUGCUGACCUACAGGACGGCACUCAGCGGCUCGGGGGGGCCUUGUCUGUAGCCGCCGGGGCCCUUCAGGGUGAAUGACCUGGCCAUCCCCUCCUAUUUUCCCCCACCCCACCCAAAGGAGCAUAAGGUGGGGGGGAGGCAGAGACAGGAAGGAAUGGGUAGGACAUGAGUGCACAGGAAGCUGGGCUUCCGAGGCCUGGGUGCCACCCCCACCCUGCAUGGAGAGCCUCUGUGUGGACAGGGUACAGCAGCUCAGCAGGAGACGUGCUGGGGAGGGUCAGGCAGACCUGGGCCUGGAGCUUCUGCUUGGCCAUGUCCUAGCUGGGUGACCCUGAACAAGUCUUGGGACCUUGGGGCCAGUGAUGCGCACGUGCACGGCCCUUCUGAAGGUUAAUGGGAUGAGGCCCGUAUGGGAACACUUAGCACAGAGUUUGACACAGAUGACAGUCUCGGUACGCGGAUGCUCGGCCCAGUUGCCACAUGGAUGUGGGGUGGAACCAGGGCAGGUCACAAAACAGGGUAGCACUGAGUCUGAGCACCACACUCUCGGAAGGCAUGCGCCCUCACUCGGGGGCUCCAUGGUCUCCCAGCCUCAGUCCGGGGGGAGACUUCUGACCUGUAGCUGCACCAGCAGGGGCUAUUGGGGCUGUUCUUGCUGACCCCAAACUUAAGGCAACCAUGGGCCAGGUCCUAGAGUUCCUCCAGCUGAGAAAAGUCCCCUAUGAAAGAGCUUCUGCUUCAGGCUGGCCCCGCCCCACAGGAGGCCAGAGAAGCGCUGUGUCUUCCUUGCAGACGCCCCCCCUGGGGGUGAUUAGCACACGCUGAUGAGGCAGCUUGGCCUUUGCGGGCUGUACUACUCGCCACGUCACAGACGAUGCUCUGCGGGGUCAAAGCUCUUCAUGCCUCGGCGCCUUUGCACAGGAAGCCCUUCCCGAAUGCUCUCCUGGGAACUCCUCAGCCUUCUACGCCUUAGCCGACACGCCACCUCCCCUGCGAAGCCUCCAGGAGCCCGCCCACCCCGAGGCAGACCUGAUCCAUGCUCCUUCAUUCCUGCCCCAGGCCUGGAGCCAGGAUGCCAGCCUAGGACGCGAGCCGCACUGCCUCUUCCGGGAAGCCCCCCACAGGCUCUGGGAGCCAACUCCACAAUCAUGAUGACGCAAACAUAAUGGUAAUAAAGGUAACCAAGGACCUGCCA
Pteropus alecto (black flying fox) is the source of this 4378-nucleotide long non-coding RNA. RefSeq lists it as uncharacterized. NCBI's taxonomy places the organism in Eukaryota, Metazoa, Chordata, Mammalia, Chiroptera, Pteropodidae. The transcript has 2 exons. The record is from RefSeq and is a predicted model, not a curated record.